GGUGAUGUAGCUCAGCUGGUUAGAGCACAGGAUUCAUAAUCCUGGGGUCGAGGGUUCAAGUCCCCCCAUCACCA
Transfer RNA from Methylobacillus flagellatus KT, 74 nucleotides. It matches the Rfam family "tRNA". From Rfam's summary of the family: Transfer RNA (tRNA) molecules are approximately 80 nucleotides in length. Their secondary structure includes four short double-helical elements and three loops (D, anti-codon, and T loops). The record is from Rfam. Lineage: Bacteria; Pseudomonadati; Pseudomonadota; Betaproteobacteria; Nitrosomonadales; Methylophilaceae.